AGGUGACAAAAGAUAAGGUACAUCUGGAUUCUUGAAAAAUGUCAAGCUUCCAAGUUCCAGGAGAAUUACUAGAGACAAUAACUCAAGAACAUCAAUAGCCAUAAUCUACAAUUUAUUAAUGGAGCUAUCUGACUUAUUGAAUGUUGGAAACUGAUUGUGGUCUGACUUUAACUGCUGUUAGUGUAGUUCUCGAUCUGCAAUGAUAUCACAGUCUGGGAUUGAUCCAUGGGAGGACUUGCAUUCUUGCAGAAAGAUUGUGAUGAUUCGCCUAACAAGUAGUCUGUUUCCUCGCUAUUUUGCUGAGCCAAUGAUUUCUGAUGAAGAGCUUUCAGCUUAGCAAGCUCAUCGGACACUUCCUUCAUGGUUGGCCGGUUUACUCCCAUGCUAUUUAGACAUCCUUUCGCAAGCUCAGCUACAGCUUCUAUCUCAUCCAUUUCACCUUCAUUAGCUGUCUGGAAAUCCAAAAUUUUGAAGAGAUGAUUAUUUUGCAGUGCUGAGAUGAAGUGUUGAAUAACGUUCCGUUUCUCUCCAGACUUGGAAAUGGAGUUUGGCAUCUCUCCAGUGAGAAGCUCCACAAGAACUACCCCAAAGCUAUAGACAUCACUUUGAACGGUUAAAAUACCCGUCAUAAGAUACUCAGGAUCCAGGUAGCCUAGAGUCCCUUGUAUUUUUGUAGCUAAGAUAUUGGUUUGGCCAGGAGACAUCAGCACCGAAGCUCCAAAAUCUGCUACUUUUGCUGUGCAAUUAUUGUCUAGAAGUAUGUUUACUGACUUGACAUCUCCAUGAAUAACUGGAGGGUCUGCCAGAGAGUGCAAAUAAUCAAGCGCAAGCGCAGUCUCCGAUGCUACCCUCAAACGAUUGGUCCAGGAAGCCAAUAUCCGGGAACCUUUGUCGUGGAUGUGCUUGGAAAGAGUUCCAUUUGAGAUGAACUCAUAGACCAGUAAUGGAACUUUGGUCUCUAAACACAGGCCCAAGAGCUUUACCACAUUCUUGUGAUUGACCUGUGAAACAAUGCUCAUUUCCUUUUGAAAUUCCUCAUUCAUCUGAGCUUUGUCCACCCCUUUGGACUUCUUGACAGCAACCACUGUAUUAUCUGUUAAAGCUCCACUGUAAACAGAACCAAAACCACCCUCCCCGAGUUUCCGAUCAUCAGCAUAAUUGUUGGUUGCCUUUACCAGCUCUGUCUCGCUGAAAAUCCGUACUCGUUGAUUCUUUAAAAAUUUUCCCCCGUUCUCUUGGAAGUUCUUCUCCUUUAUUCUUUUCGUGCAGAUCAUGUAGAGUAGCAGACAAAUAACCACAAGGAGAAUGCUUGCGCCAACAGCUGCAAGCAAGUGUCAAAGAAGGACGUUACUUUCAAAAUCAAAUCAAGGGAAAAUAUUUAUUAACUAACUUCUCUUGUAAUUGAUCGAUAGCCACUAUGAGCUUCGUUAAUCCAACUAAAUUCGUGAUGUUUUAUUUUUUAAUUUUUUUUGAUCCCUUGAACUAUGAAGUCAAGUUAAAAUCAAGCCUUCGUUAGCCUUCCGAUCAAAAGCUACCUCAAAUGUCGUGGUCUCCUCAACACCAAAAGCAGCCAGAAGGAGAAGAAAGGAAGCAAAGCUAAAACAAUUAAUCGAAGAACACGAGAGAGAGAGAGAGAGAGAGAGAGAGGGAGAGAGAAAAAAUUAUAUGACUUGAAUUAUAGAUCCAACUAAAAUAAAUAAGCUAAUUUUAAUUUAAUUCGAUGAAAAAAAUUAAUAAUAGAUGAAUCAACAUCCCAUUAAAUAUAAAAAAAAUAAAAUAACAUAAAAAACUGAUCAACCGAAGUUAGCUGAAUUUCAAUGCUUACAAGAAAAUGCAAAGAAAGCUAAUUACCUGCAAUGAUUGUGAUGAUACUACCUCUUUGACAACCUGUUUUACCAUCACCGUACUUGCCACGUGGACAUCGACAAUUGUAAUCUCCAAUCACAUUCUCGCAAGUACCUUCUUUACAAGGGUUUUUUAAAACCUUGCAUUCAUCUAUAUCUGUUGUAAAUGUUAAAAAUAUUAGUGGAAAAAACCAGAAUAUACAAAUUCAAAAAAAAAAAAAAAAACUGUAAAAAACAAAUAGUGCCGAAUAAAUAGAAGCAAUAACCAGUUUACCUUGGCAUCCUUCUCGGAGAUAAGGAUUUCCUUCGAACCCUUUAUUGCAUGAGCAACGAUAUCCUUGACCAAUCUCAGGGUAGGUGCAAUUUGCAUUAGCGCCACAAGCAUAUGCACUUUGAUUAGCUUUGGCCUGUUCGCACGUCUUAUUUUCAACUACCCAUUCAAUCACAACAUCUGCUGUAUAUGCAUCUUUUCCAUAUUUUGGCUUGAGAGAGAGCGGCCAAUCUGAAAUCUGGAAGGAGUUCUUGUCCACUAAAAAUGCGAAUCCACAGAGAUUGAAGUCCGAAACGUCCGUGUACUCGUUUAAAGUUGACAAUGAAUAUUUAAGUGAUUUGAGGCCCUUGGGGAUUGAGGUUUGGCAGCAUCCAGAACCUGAGCAAGGAUUUCCAUCGGACAUGCUCACAUUUUCUGUGCACAAGGAGAGACAGGCAGCUCCGUAUGUGGACUCAUAGUUGGUCAUCCAGGCAUAUGUAUCGCAACCAAUUACUGUGAAUGCAUUUCGGGUGUCUGACAACGUGAAGGGGCAACGUGAUGUAUCUACAUAGUGCUAACUGCUAAGGUAAUUAUCACAAAGGUAAUUAUAAUUUCGCACUGGUUUGCAAACUAGAAAUGCAAAAACUGGGCAGGAGAAAAAAAGGGCGUACCUGGGGCUUUUGCUUGAAGAUGAAGAUGAUGGUGAUGGAGAGCUUGAGGUUGCUGGUCGAACAUACUUUUUCUCCUUUGCUUUUUUUCUUGUUUUUAUUUUCUUUGGUUGUCUGUUUGUUGUUUGUUCCUGUGCGCCUCUGUUCCCCGUCUGUGUUAUGCUUUUCUGUUUGUGUUAUCCUUCUCCUCUGAUAGCGUCCCUGUUCUAUAUUCCCUGGUCCUGUGUUUCUGGUGUCCUGGGUUUUUUCCUUCGUUUUCUGCCUGUGUUGUUCUCCUGUACUGGGUCUUUUUUUUGUGUUUCCUCCUUUUUUCUCUCUUUUUCUGGUCUUCUCUGUUUUUCUUUGCAGGUUUAUAACAUCCAUAAUAUUGGGAAUGCAUCAUUUUAAAGAUUUAUCAAACAUGUAUUUUUAAAAUGAAGUUAAUACAAAUUGUACUUCCUUUUCUUUGCUUACUUUUUACCCAUUAAAUUUUACUUUCCAAGGUUUUAGUGAGGCAAUUUGGUAUUUUUAUGAAUCCUAAAGUAUUCAAAUAUGAUUUUUAAAGUAUCUAUAUUAAACUUUUUAUUGAAUUCUAAAGCAUUCGGAAAUCAAACAAAAAUUUAUACUCUUUUUUAUUCACUUAGGUUUUUUUUCUCAUUGGGUUUUUUUUCCAAGAUUUUAAUGAGAUAAUUUUUUAAUACAUUGAAAUCAACGACUUUGUCAUUCUUGAGUUAUAAAAUCUAUAUUUAUAUACAUUGAAUAUUCGUUAGAAUCUCUUAGACUCCGUCACUCUUUAAUUUAGUUUCUUGAUUUUCUAUGACAUAUUAAUACUUGCAUUUUCUAGUAUCUUUUAAUGUUUUCAUUUCUUUUCCUAUAAAUAGACUACUUAAUUUAUAUUCUAAAGAUUGAAAAUUAUAUAUAAGAAAAUGUAUGGAUUUCUCUUUCAAUUUUUAUUCUAAAUAUUCUUGUUUUUAUUUGUUUUUUUAUAUUUUUAACAAAGUCAAAAUUAAAACCAAUCAGAUUAGUUUUUUUAUUCUAUUCUAAUAAAACAAAAGUAAAAGAAAAGCUUACUUAUAUAAGAUGUAGCAAUUGUUUUAAAACCCGACUUGACUUUAAGGGAGAAUUAACUUAAUAAAAAAUCUAGAUUGACCCAAGAUUCAAUCAAAAUAUGUUAAUUUUUUUUAAAAUUUUGUUUAAAUGAUAUUUUUACUUUUUUCUAAAAUUAAAAAAUUAAGUUAACCCAAAUUAAUUUUACCUGAACCGAAACUUGCCCUUGAUCAACAGGUUGAGUUUAAAAAUUAUGUUUAUAGGUGCUCAUGCAAUGGCUAGAAAAUGAUGGGAAUCUUGUUUUGAUAAGACUUCGUAUGCUAUGAAAAUUUGAGCUAGCUGUGGAGCUUUCUCUAUCUGGGAAUGUAGGUAAACAUCAUUGAAUCUGGUUUGAUUAGGAAAUCGAAGGUACUUAUCAAUUUCUCAAAACAAUUUCUUUUUGAGAAUGUAUAUUAACUAGUCCAGUAAACACACAAUUUUUAUUUCAACAUAGGUGACAAUUUUUAUUAACCAAGUGAGUGAAUGAGAGAAAAACGAGGGGAUUAUUUAUUGGUGAUGUUUACUAUUAUCACUUUAUUCUUGGUGGAGCAUUUUCAAAAUAGAAGUUUUCAAGUCUGAAAAUAAAGUGUGGAAUUAAAGGUGUGGUGAGUGUUGUACUACUAAUUCAAUAUUGAAGAUUUAUAAAGAAAGAAGUGAAUUGACAAUUCAGGUAAGGCCAAGUUCAAGAAAUAAUUUUUAUUUUUUUUAUUUAUCAUAGAAGAAAUGUUAGUCCUUGUAGACACGUACAAGAAUUUUUAAGCUUAGGAUGAUAUUUUUGGCAUUUCGGUUUCUCAAUCUGAAUUUAAAUAAUAAAAUAUUCAAAUUUUUUUGUUAACAGAUUUUCUUUAGACUUGUCUUUUUGGGAUUUUUUUAUUGCUAACUCUGUUUACAAGUACCAAUAAAAAUAUGUUGAAUAUUAAAUAAUAAAAUAUUCAAAUUUUUUUGUUAACAGAUUUUCUUUAGACUUGUCUUUUUGGGAUUUUUUUAUUGCUAACUCUGUUUACAAGUACCAAUAAAAAUAUGUUGAUUAUAUGCCUCCAUGAUAGGAAUUGAUAUUUGUGUUUUGGUAGGACUAUAAUACCAACAUUUCAACUUUCCUUUUCUUCUUUGUAGGCUAACUUUCAACUCCAGAGAAAGAAGAAGAACAAUGCAUGCACUACAAGAUUUAACAGUUUUACCGACAGAAUUUUUCCGUAUAAUUCUGCAAUCUUUGCCGUAUAAUUGUUGUCUGAAAGCAUGCUCACCGACUUUGACAUCUCCAUGAACAAUAGGAGGGUCUGCUAGAGAAAGCAGAUAAUCAAGCGCAAGGUCUCCGAUGCUAUCCUUAGACGAUUGCCCUAGGAGAAGCUAGUAAAUGCAACUUUUUGUCAUGGAUGUUCUUGAAUAGAUAAUUUCCAUUUGAAAUGAACUCAUAAACUAGUAAUGGCAUUUUAGUCUCGGAACACAGGCCAAAGAGCUUGACCACAUUCUUGUGAUUGACCAGCAAAACAAGGCUACUUUCCUUUUGAAAUUCCUCGUUCAUCUAAGCCUUCUCUGCCCCUUUAAACUUAUUGACUGCAACCAAGGUCUUAUCUGCUAAAACUCCCUUGAAAACAGAACCAAAACCACCUUCCCAAGUUUCUGAUCAUCAACAUAACUGUUGGUUUCUAUUGCCUCACCGAAAAUCCUUGAUCGCUGAUGCUCUAAGCCAUUCCCUCGUUCUCUCUGAAGUUUUUCUCCUCACUUUUUUUCUUUUCCAGCACAUCAUGUAGAACUGUAGACAAAUAAUCACAAGGAAAAUUGUUGCUCCAGUAGCUGCAAAAAAAAACGUCAACGAAAGAUGUGUGUAACUUACAAAACGAACCAAUGGAAAGGAUACAUUUACUAACUUUUGAUAAGUGAUGAAAAGUAGUGAUAGGCCAUUAAUGUUACUUACAAGCCCAGCACCAAUAAUGGGCUCAAUUUGAUAGUAGACCUAUGGACUCAGAGAAGGCCUUUAGGUCCAUGAUGGUGGUUAUGUAGCCCAAAGGAGCAAAAUGUACAAUUAUUACUUGUGACUCAGAGCUUAGGUCAUAAGGAAUUCCUUUUAUUCCUUUUAUUCUAAUAAAAAAAAAGGUAAAGGUAAAGCUUAAUUUUAUAAGAUGCAGCAACUAUUUUAAAACGACGGUUAACCUAUUAUUCUUGUGACUCAGAGCUUAGAUAAAAAAUAAUUUCAAAACAGUUGGGAGAAUCAGGAUUUUUGUAUAUAUUGGUUUCGCCAGGAGGCAUCAACACCGAAGCUCCAAAAUCUGCUACUUUUGCUGUGUAAUUAUUGUCUAGAAGUAUGUUUACUGACUUGACAUCUCCAUGAAUAACUGGAGGGUUUGCCAGAGAGUGCAAAUAAUCAAGCGCAAGCGCAGCCUCCGAUGCUACCCUCAAACGAUUGGUCCAGGAAGCCAGUAUCCGGGAACCUUUGUCGUGGAUGUGCUUGGAAAGAGUUCCAUUUGAGAUGAACUCAUAGACCUGUAAUGGAACUUUGGUUAAACAAUAUCUUAAUUAAUUAAUAUUUUUUCAUGAUUUUAAUAAUAUUAAUUUAUAAAGGUUUAACGUACGGUGGUUUAAAAAAUUAGUAUUAAAAAAUAAAAAAAUUUAGACAAUUUUACUAAUUGAUAUAUAUAUGGCCUUCAGGAUUUUUUUUAUAGCCAAUAUCUUCAAAUUGAUUUUUAUGAAUGACAAUUGUGCGUCUAUAUUUUUAGUACAAUAAAUUAAGGGCAACUUUUUUGUUACAUAAUUCAAAAUGCAUGUCAUAUGUGGACGUUCGUCUUUAAUGUGUAAAAAAUGUAUCAAUAUCCCUGUGCUUGUAACCAUGUCCAUGUCUAUGUAUUUAGCCUCUCGAAUCCUCUCACACCAGAGGCUUCGAGAGGCUAAAUACUUCUCAAAUGAAGUCUUUGCUAACUGAUGAUGGCUUUGAUUCCUCAAGAUAGAGACAUGGCUCAAGUUACCAAUUGAUCAAAGAAACUCUCUUAUAAUCAGCGCGAAGGAUUUUUAAUUUAUUUCGUUCUUAACAUGAAAGACUAAGAACAUGUGCUAAAACACAUGGACCACAACACAAUUACAAGUUUUUAUUCAAUCAGCAACCCUCGUAAAAGUGUUAAAAACAAAAAAGAAACAUAUGAUUUGUGAUAUAUUUUCUUAAUCGCUCACCAUGUUUCAGAAGAAAUCAACGGCUUGCAAUCUAAUGGUACAUCUGUACCAAUCUCGAAAUUGCUGCAGGAAAUCGACCUCGAUGAAUUAUCCACUUCAACCAUUUGUUGAGUAUUGAUACCGUUACGUGAUAAUAGAAUCCCCUCCAAUUCCAUUGCAACUUCUCUCAUUGUUGGCCGGUUUCUUCCAUUCAUAUUCAAACAUCUCUUUGCAAGAUUCGCUAUAACUAUGGCUUCCUCUUCAGUGCAAUCCCCCUUAACCUGAGCAUCAAUGAUAUCAAAGAGUCUACUAUCUUCCAUCAAUUCAAUGAAAUGUUCGGCUAGGCUCAUGGUUUUCAGUGAAUGGGUUAAGAAAAUUGGUUUUUUCCCACUUAAGAGCUCGACGAGAACUACUCCAAAACUAUAAACAUCACUAUUUCCUGUUAAUUGACUGGUUCGAAAAUACUCUGGAUCUAAGUAACCAAAAGUACCUUGCACCUUGGUGGUCAGAUGAGUUUGAUCAAUGGAAACUGAUCUUGUGGUUCCGAAAUCUGAAACUUUUGCUUUAUAUUUCUCAUCUAAGAGUAUGUUUGUGGACUUAAUGUCUCGGUGGUAAAUCGGGAUAGAUGCUGUCGAGUGAAGAUAGGAUAUAGCACCUGCAGCUUCCGAGGCGAUUCGCAACCGCGAUUCCCAUGAUAACGUAAAGUCCUCGUUUUGCUCAUGGAGAUAUUGGUAAAGAGUUCCAUUGGGAAUGAAUUCAUAGACUAGCAGAGGAACAUCAGUCUCCAGGCAACAUCCAUGAAGCCUAACCACAUUUCUGUGAUUGAUUUGUGAAAGAAUGACAACCUCGUUGAUGAAUUCUUCUAGUUUUUCUUCAUCUACUCUUGUAGACGUCUUAACUGCAACAAUACUCCCAUCAGCUAACAUUCCCUUGUAAACGGUGCCUUGACCGCCAUGACCAAGUAUGCUGUUCUCAUUAAAAUAAUCGGUCGCCUUUUCCAACUCAUUUGAACUGAAUAUUUUUGUCUUUUGAACACUACCAUCACUGGAGGAUAAUUGUUGCUGCAAUAAGAGACCACCAUUCCGUUUGAAAAACAACUUCUUCAACUGAAUGCACUUCCUUCUUUUGAUAAGUUUGAACAUCCACCAAGCACCAAUGAGCAACAACAGUACUCCAAGGGCCAGACCGAUAACUGUAUUCCGAGGUAAAAAAUAUCACUUAGCUCAGGCAUAUGGUUUGAGUUGAAAAUAUCACUUGGCUCAGGCAUAUUAAACAUGUACAGCGACCAUUAAAAAAUAGGCAAGAGAACAUAUUGUUUUGUCUUACACUGUAGAUCAUUGUGGACUUCUGGUAAAAAAUAAAAUUUCAUUUCAAUUUUUUUUAAAAUUCAUCCUUAAAUUGCCGAAUUGAAAGCUAAUUUAGAUUACUUUGAUAGGAAAGGGGUGAAAUUAAAGGACUGGAGAUCAAAGUAAAAAAAAUAAAAGAAAUUGAUGGUUUUAAAAAAGUUUACGUGAAUUGUUCUUUGUAGAGUCUCCAAACUUUCCUAAUUAUAAAUAAUUGGUCCUUUAAUUUUUAAAAUAUAAGAAUAAAGUCAAUUUUUGUCUCAAAACUUUAUUUUUAUUAUCUUUUGAUCCUUGGGUUGAGAAAGGAGAGAGAAAAAUAUUAGAUUCUAGUUAUAGAGAGAAAAUUAUCAUUUACAUCAAUUCAAGCUAUGAAAAAAAUGAUGAUUUUAGUAUUAUUGAAUUUCUUUUAAUAUGGAGAAUUUAUAGUAAGUGUUUUUUCUUCCCUGAGUUACUUUUAUGGUAGAUUUGAGCAUGAAAACAGUUUUGGCUUGGGGUUGAUUGUGGGUUUUCGAUAUAAUUUUUGAAUUGUUUAAGGUCAUAAAUAUGUUUUAGAAGGUGUUUGGGGUUUUUUUUUUUAAUGGAAACAUGGUUGAUUUUUUUUUUGUGAAAAAUAUCACAGCUUGAAUUUGGUCGCUAAAAUCUUGACAGGGUAGAUAACACGUCGCCAACUUUUUUUUUCUUAAAAAAAUUUUUUAUUUGUGAUUGAAAUCUUUUUAUAUUAAAAAAGAAUAUAUAAAAAAUAUUGUUUUAUUGAAAAAAAAAGUUACUUGACGUGCCGCAAGUCACAGAUCAAAUAACUAGUAUAUAUUCUUACUAACUGGUUCAGGUGCUUGUGUGUAAGAAACUGAAGGUUGGGAAACAUACAUAUCAAGUAAUGUCAUCAUAAGAAAAUGCAAAGAAAGCUAAUUACCUGCAAUAAUUGUGAUGAUACCAGGUCCUUUACAGCCUGUUUUACCAUCACCGUACUUGCCACGUGGACAUCGACAAUUGUAAUCUCCAAUGACAUUCUCGCAAGUACCUUCUUGACAAGCGUUUUUUCCUCGACCUUGCAUUCAUCUAUAUCUGUUGUAAAUGUUAAAAAUAUUAGUGGAAAAAACCUGAAUAUACAAAUUCAAAAAAAAAAAGUUAAAAACAAAUAGUGCCGAAUAAAUAGAAGCAAUAACCAGUUUACCUUGGCAUCCUUCUCGGAGAUAAGGAUUUCCUUCGAACCCUUUAUUGCAUGAGCAACGAUAUCCUUGACCAAUCGCAGGGUAGGUGCAGUUUGCAUUAGCGCCACAAGCAUAUGCACUUUGAUUAGCUUUGGCCUGUUCGCACGUCUUAUUUUCAACUACCCAUUCAAUCACAAUAUCUGCUGUAUCUGCAUAUAUUUUGGCUUGCGAGAGAGCGGCCAAUCUGAAAUCUUGAAGGAGUUCUUGUCCACUAAAAAUGCGAAUCCACAGAGAUUGAAGUCCGAAACGUUCGUGUAGUUGUAAAAAGUUGAUAACGAAUAAUCAAGUGAUUUGAGGCCCUUGGGGAUUGAGAUUUGGCAGCAUCCAGAACCUGAGCAAGGAUUUCCAUCGGACAUGUUCACAUAUUCUGUGCACAAGGAGAGACAGGCAGCUCCAUAUGUGGACUCAUAGUUGGUCAUCCAGGCAUAUGUAUCGCAACCAAUUACUGUGAAUACAUUUCGGGUGUCUGACAACGUGAAGGGGCCUGAUCCAAGGGAGAAAUACUGUGAGUAAUAGUCUGUCCAGCUCCCAGUUUUGUCAUAGCAGGCGAAAGCAGUGUAUAAGCUGGCAGUUAUUGUGCCCUCCAGCACUGAUAUAUUGCGAGCAGGCAUGUUUCCAAACAACAGUUGCCCAUCAGCGCCUGAAGUGCAGUUUAGAAAGAAGUCGUCGUUCAUGGCACAGCUUUCUUCUCCAAUCCCAAAGGGGUAAGGAACACUAACAUCCCCACACUUGUCUUGGCAGCCAGGUUUUGCAUCUGUCCUUGCUGUUGAUGCUGCAGCUGGACACAAUAAAAGCGACAUCAUCAGCAAAAACACCCACAUGACUCUGAACCUCCCAACUUAAUAAGUAGCAAUUGAACCUAGAAGAUUUGUAUAAAGAGGCUCCAAACCACUAACUUCUGCAACUUCUUUUCUCGUAGAGGACAUAUAUAUAUAAGCUAAUUAACACAGACCAAGUCCAAGAACGCAGGGAUAGAGUCUUGAGAGUCCUUUCCUAGAUCUUUCUUUUCAGUUGGCACGCAUGCAAAGUCACAUAACAUUGACCAAAUCAAAUCUACAAUUCCUAAUAACAUGUAUUGACAAACUAUGGAAACCCCAGUGAAGCCAUAUCACAGCCACCAACCUCGACAUCUGGGUACGCAGAGUAAUUAAUGAUUAAGAGGAUUUUUUUUAAUUCAUAUUUUAAAAUUAAUAUUUAAUAGAAUUUGAUUUUCUAAUUAAAUACAUCAAUGUAAUAAUAAGUAUGUAUUCUUAAAAUUAUGUUUUAAAAAAAAACUUAAUCUCUAGUGACUUUGAAACUAAUUAAAGAUACAUUGAUUGUUAAGGAAAGCUAUACACAAACACCAAAAUAACUACUUUUCCUUGUUAAAAUGCUUGUUUGUAAAUGUGAUUUGACCAUGUUUUUAAAAAAUUUAAAAGUUUUUUAUUUUUAUUUUUAAUUAAUAUUUUAUUAUUUUGAAGUAUUGGUAUAAAAACUAAAAUAAUAUUUUAAAAUAAAAAAUAUUUUAAAAAAACACUCUCCAUACAAAUAACAAAUAGCAGGUCCCAACAAUAGCAAAGUCACUCACAAUAAGAUUAGGUCUUGUUUUUUUUUUUUUUUUUUUUUAAAAGUAUUUUUUUUAAAAAAAUUUUUAUUUUAAUUUUUUUUGUUUUAAAUUAUUUUUUCUUUGUAUUUUUAAAUUAUUUUGAUGUGUCGAUGUUAGAAAUAAUUUUUUUAAAAAAAAAAUAUUAUUUUAAUAUAAUUUUUUUAAAAAAAUACUUUAAAAAAUAAUUAUAAUUACGUAUUUUUAGACACGCUUUAAAAUUGAUAGAUGGAAAAUAAGGAGGGCCUUUGGGUCCAUGGCUUCGCAAAAUCUAACUGGCAAGGAAGUGACCACCUUCGGGUCAAAGGGUUUAUUUAUUGGACCAUCUAUAGCCACUUGGAUGCCAUCCAUUAUCGUAGAAAACGCACAUCAACCCUUUCGGCUUUUGGAUUUUCUUGUGGAAAAUUAUAUAAGGGCAGAGCUAUGAGCACAUGAAUACUCGCCGGGUCAAGUGCGGACAUAGAUUCUUUGAAAUUUGAGUGUGAUUGUCGUCGAUGUUCCUUAAUAAUUUUCAAAGGACCCCAAAGCCAGAUUUUGCAUUGGCCCCCAUAGCAAGUAAUGCUUGCGAUAACCAAGUGAGUGAAUGAAGAAAAACGAGGGGAUUUUUUAUUGGUGAUGUUUACUAUUAUCACUUUAUUCUUGGUGGAGCAUUUUCAAAAUAGAAGUUUUCAAGUCUGAAAAUAAAGUGUGGAAUUAAAGGUGUGGUGAGUGUCUACUAAUUCAAUAUUGAAGAUUUAUAAAGAAAGAAGUGAAUUGACAAUUCAGGUAAGGUCAAAUUCAAGAAAUAAUUUUUUUUUUUUUUUCACAUAGAAGAAUUGUUAGUCCUUGUAGGACACGGACAAGAAUUUUUAAGCUGUAGAAUGAUAUUUUUGGCAUUUCGGUUUCUCAAUCUGAAUAUUAAAUAACAAAAUAUUCAAUUUUUUUUGUUAACAAAUUUUCUUUAGAGUUGUUUUUUGGGUUUUUUUUAAUUGCUAACUCUGUUUAUAAGUAACAGUAAAUAAAUAAAUAAAUAUAUAUCAGUUAUAUGCCUUGAUGAUAGAAAUUGAUAUUUGUAUUUUGAUAGGACUGGGAUGCCAACAUUUAGAAAGAUAAUUUCCAUUUGAAAUGAACUCAUAAACUAGUAAUGGCAUUUUAGUCUCCGAACACAGGCCAAAGAGCUUGACCACAUUCUUGUGAUUGACCAGCAAAACAAGGUCUUAUCUUGACCACAUUCCCUUUUGAAAUUCCUCGUUCAUCUAAGCCUUCUCUGCCCCUUUAAACUUAUUGACUGCAACCAAGGUCUUAUCUGCUAAAACUCCCUGAAAACAGAACCAAAACCACCUUCCCAAGUUUCUGAUCAUCACAUAAUUGUUGGUUUUUUUUGCCUCAUCGAAAAUCCUUGCUCGCUGAUGCUUUAAGCCAUUCCCGUUCUCUCUGAAGUUCUUCUCCUCACUUUUUUUUUAAGCUAAUAUAUAUAUAUAUAUAUAAGCUAAUUAACACAAACAACUAAAACAAUUGUUAACACGACCAAGUCCAAGACUACAGGGUCGAUAGAGUCUUGAGAGUCCUUUCCUAUAUCUUUCUUUUCAGUUGGCACGCAUGCAAAGUCACAUAACAUUGACCAAAUCAAAGUAUACAAUUCCUAGUAAUUUGUGUAGAUAAGCUAUGAAAACCCCAGUGAAGUCAUAUCACAGCCACCAACCUUGUUUGGGGUACCCAGAAUAAUUAAUGAUUAAAUGGAUUUUUUUAUAAUUUAUAUUUUAAAAUUAAUAUUUAAUGGAAUUUUAUUUUCUAAUUAAAUAUAUUAAUGAUGUAAUAAUAAGUAUGUAUUCUUAAAAUUAUAUAAAAAAAAACUUAAUCUCAAGUGACUUUAAAACUAAUUAAAGAUACAUUGAUUGUUAAGGGAAAACCAUACACAAACACCAAAAUAACUACUUUUCCUUGUUAAAAUGCUUGUUUUAAACAUGGUUUGACCAUGUUUUUUAAUUUUUUAAAGUUUUUAAUUUUUAUUUUUAAUUUUAUUUUUUAUUUAUUAUUAUUAUUUUGAAGUAUUGGUAUCAAAAAUAAAAAAAAUAUUUUAAAAUAAUUUGUUUUUUUUAAAAAAAACACUCCCUAUACAAAUAACAAAUAGUAGUACCCAACAAUCACAAAGUCACUCACAAUGGGAUUAGAAAUUAAAAAAAAAAUUAUUUUGAUGUGAUGUUAGAAAAAAAAAUUUUAAAAAUAAAAAAUAUUAAUUUAAUAUAAUUUUAAAUUAAAAUACUUUAAAAAAUAAUUAUAACUACGUAUUUUUAUACACACUUUAAAAUCGAUAGAUGGAAAAUAAGGAGGGGCCUUUGGGUCCAUGGCUUCGCAAAAUCUAACUGGCAAGGUAGUGACCACCUUCGGGUCAGAGGGUUUAUUUUUUGGACCACUUGGAUGUCAUCCAUUAUCGUAGAAAACGCACAUCAACCCUUUCGGCUUUUGGAUCUUCUUGUGGAAAAUUAUGCAAGGGCAGAGCUAUGAGCACAUGAAUACUCGUUGGGUCGACAAGGACUUACCCAGGAUUAGAUUCUUUGAAAUUUGUGUGUGAUUGUCGUCGAUGUCUUGAUGAUAUUCCUUUAUAAUUUCAGUGAGUGAAUGAGAGAAAAAGGAGGGGAUUAUUUAUUGGAGCAUUCUCAAAAUAAAAGUUUUCAAGUCUAAAAACUAAGUGUGGAAUUAAAGAUGUGGUGAGUGUUGUACUACUAAUUCAAUAUUGAAGAUUUAAUUAUAAAGAAAGAAGUGAAUUGACAAUUCAGGUAAGGCCAAGUUCAAGAAAUAAUUUUCUUUUUUAUCAAUAUAAGAAAUGUUAGUCUUUGUAGGAGACGUACAAGAACUUUUAGAUCGUCUUUGACAGUGUGGUAGCGAUUAUUUUUUAAAUAAUUUUUAAUGCCAAAAUGCAUGCCAAUGAUGUUUUUUUAUUUUUUAAAAAUUAUUUUUGACAUCAGCACAUCAAAACGAUCCAAAAAGUACAAACCGCAUUAAAUUUUAACAAAAAAAAAAAACUUUUGAAUUUUUUGGGAACGCCAUUUCAACCGCGUUCUUAAACACUACCUUGAGCUGUAGGAUGAUUUUCGGCAUUUCAGUUUCUCAAUUUGAAUAUUAAAUAAUAAAUUAUUCAAAAAAAAUUUUGUUUGCAAAAUUCCUUUAGAGUUGUCUUUUUGGGAUUUUUUUUAUUGCUAACUUUGUUUAUAAGUACCAAUAAAAAUAUGUCAAUUAUAUGCCUCGAUGAUAGGAAUUGAUAUUUGUAUUUUGGUAAGACUAUGAUGCUGACAUUUCAACUUUUCUUCCCUUCUUUGCGGGCGGAAUUUCAACUCCAGAGAAAGAAGAAGAAGAACAAUGCAUGUGGAAACGAUAUCAUUUUGGUAUGGGAAUGAUCAUUUUUAAUUUGAUGCUUGAAGUUUUGAAAUUUUGCAUUUAAACUCCUGAUAUUUUAAUUUCAAAUUUUGAUCCCCUUAAAAUCAAAUUUUAUAACUUGUGAAAUCUUGACCUUGAAUUAAUUAAAAAACUUAAAUUUAAUUUUUAAAGAUAAAAUAAUAAAAAGAAUAUUAAAAAAAAAUGCUUAGAUUCUUUGAAACACGGACCGUCUAUAACCACUUGGAUGUCAUCCAUUAUCGUGGAAAACGCUCAUCAACCCUUUUGGCUUUUGGAUCUUCAUGUGGAAAAUUAAGGGCAGAGCUAUGAGAACAUAUAUAAAUACUCGUUGGGUCAAGGGCGGACAAGAAUAUUGUCGAUGUCUUGAUGAUAUAUAUACCUUAAUAAUUUUUAAAGGAUCCCAAAGCCAGAUUUUGCAUUGGCUCCCAUCGCUUUAACAUCCAUUAUUUAUUGGUGAUGUAUACUAUUAUCGCUUUAUUCUUGGUGAAACAUUUUCAAAAUAAAAGUUUUCAAGUCUAAACACAACGUGUGGAAUUAAAGAUGUGGUGAGUGGUGUACUACUAAUUCAAUAUUAAAGAUUUAGAUAUAAAGAAGUGAACUGAAAAUUCAAGGUCAAGUUCAAGAAAUAAUAAUUUUAUAUAUAUAUAUAAAUAGAAGAAAUGUUAGUCCUUGUAGGACAUGUAAAAGAAUUUUUAAGCUGUAGAAUGAUAUUUUCAGCAUUUCAGUUUCUUAAUCUGAAUAUUAAAGAAAAAAAUAUUAAUUUUUUUUUUGUUAACAAAUGCCCUUAUGGGUUGUUUUUUUGGAUGUUUUUCUAUUUCUAAUUCUAUUUCUAUACACUGAUGAAAAUAUCUCGGUAAUAUAUACCGAGAAAAACUUAUUUAGAAUAAAAUAAAUAAAAAAACCAAAGAUGACGUGUAAUAAGUUUUUGCACUUUACGUUUUGUUCAUUAAUUAAAUUAGUUAAUUGUUACUUGACUUCAUUUGAUUAUUUUAUUUGUCAAUUGAUUUGGUAAAUUAUAUUUAAGAAUAAGUUUGUUUUUAUGUUUCAAAAAUAUUAAAAGUUUUUUUUUAUUUUAAUUUUUAGAUAAUUUUGAUGUAUUAAUGUUAAAAAUGAAUUUUUAAAAAUAAAAAAAAUAUUAUUUUAAUAUAUUUUGCAAUAAAAAAUCUUUAAAAAUAACUACUAAGUACCUAAAUCUUUCAAUGUUUUCACGCUCUUCGUAUUGGAGCUCUAUUAAUCUUAAGAAAUUAUUUAAUUGCUGAUCGAAGAUAUAUAUGAUGAGAGGGUUAAAAAUUAAUAAAUCAAGAAAUCAUUGAAAUGAAAGAGCUAUUACAAAAUAGAGGAUGAAGUCACGUAACAGUGACCAAAUCAAAGUCUACAAUUACUAAUACAUGUGUUGAAAAACCUCUAUGAAGCCAAAUCACAGCCACCAAUCUCGACGUUUGGGGCGUGCAGAGUAAUUAAUGAUUAAGUGGUUUUUUUAAUUCAUAUUUUAAAAUUAAUAUUUAAUAGAAUUUGAUUUUCUAAUUAAAUACAUUAAUGUAAUAAUAUUAAUUAUGUAUUCUUAAAAUUAUUAAAAAAAAACUUAAUCUCAACUAACUUUGAAACUAAUUAAAGAUGCAUUGAUUGUUAAGGAAAAAAAUAAACACAGACAACAAAUUAAUACUCCCUCUUACAUAUUCCAAAGCCAAUAAAUGCAUCCUCGGAAUGUAAUUAAUUAAAAAUUAACAACCAAGACAUAGAGAUGGGUAUAGGCCUAUACGCAUGCUAAAAGCACAAAGCAAUAUCCAUAUAUCACUAAUUUCAAUUCAACAUGAAUUUUUUUAUAUAAAUUAUCCUAGUUUCUUUUUUAUAUUAUAUAUAUAUAUAUAUAUAUAUACCAACCAUUUGUUUUUUUUAUUAUUAUUUCGACCAUCUUAAUUCAAUUUAUGACUAGUUCUGAUACGACUGGGUCAAUGGAGCCUAGAGAGAGUCCUUCCAGCAUCUUUCUUUUUAAUUAGUUUUUGUUUUUGGAAGGCAAACAAAAUAUUUGCAGAAAAUUCAUAGUACAAAAACAAUCAAAUAUCUUAAUUUCAUUUGGUUGGAUUUGAGCUCUCCACCCAUCUCUUUCAUUAUAAUUGCAGGGAGGUUAAUAGGUGAAGCUAUAGUAUGAAAAGUCUAUGAUUGUGAUUUUUUAUGGUUGGUUUAAAGUGUUUUAUUUUAAAAUAUAUUUUAAAAAAAAAUUAAUUUUAAUACACAUCAAAAUAAUCUAAAAAUAUAAAAAAAAUUAAAUUUUAACAAAAACAUAGCUCAACCAUGUAACUAAACAUGCUUGUAAUUUCCUUACAAAUAUAUAAUUUUCCUUUGUAAUUUCUCAAGUGGAAAGUGAAGAGAGAUGUUUAAGCUAUGUAUGUUAAUUCCAUAAUCAAUUAAAACUUUCACUUCAUAUUUUUUUCAUUAUUUACAUUAAUUAUUUGUUGAUCGAAUUCAUUUGUUUAUUUUGCAAAUCCAUUUAUUUCAAGAAUUAUAUGUAAAUCAAUCAAUGUUCUCAUACUCUUCAUAUUAGCCGAUUCAACUUGAUUUCUACGAAAGAGCUAGUUGUUGUGCAUACUGGACCGAAAGCAAACACAAAAAAACACAAAGACAAGCAGAUUUACGUGGUUCCCCAAAACCGGGUAUGUCCACGGAGGCAACAGAUUGUAUAUUAUUGGAGGAAUAAUACAAACACUGAACUCAACCCCAAUACAAUCCUAAAACCCAAUGUUUCACUCUUACACUCGAUGUUUCUCUCUAAUCUGCACUUGCACUCACUCUUACUCUCACAGUUGCAUUAUUUUCUUCUUUGCACUUGACACACGUUCUCUCCACGUUGCUCUUCACCUCUUUAUAGGUGAAUGGAGAAGCACCCAUGUGCAGCCAGCUCAACCCAUGAAUGGAGAAGCAUUGGUAGCCAGCUCAACCCAUGUGCAGCCAACCACUACAAUGAAAAAGGUUGACAAAUUUGCUACACUGGCUACAUAUAUAUUCCUUGAUCUCAUUAAAUGACUGGUCCAGUUCUAAAUGCUUCCGCUGUUGCUGAAAAAUUGUGAUGAUUCACUAAUAAGUGAUUUCUGAUGAAGGGCUUUCAGCUUAACAAGCUUAUCACAUACGUCCUUCAUUGUUGGUCGGUUACUAGUACAUGCAUGCUAUUUAGAGAUCCACAAGAAAAAAAAUUUCAAUGUAAAAAAAAGUUAGGGUAUAAAACCUAAUUAUAAAAAGGUAAAUAGAAUAACUAAGUUUUUAGAUUAUCAACAAUCAAAUUAUAUCUAAUAGAAAGAAAGUAAAAAAAAAAAAUAACAAAGCAAACUCAAAGAAAAAACAUAAGCUUUUAAGAAAAAUAUCAAGAAAACUUGAAUAAACUUUCUAAACCCCACAACUCGCUGAAUUCUAGACCUAAAUUCAAUAAAAAAAAACCUUAAUAGGUGGAGGAGUAGAGGCAGCUACUACAAUUCUUCUUUUCCCCUGUGCAGAGAUACAACCCUCCUCGUUUUCUUCCCGGUGGUAGUGCAAGAGGAGCGAACGGUGGCCUAGGUGAUGAAGAUGAUGGUAUCCCUUCCUCUGUGCUUUCCUUAUCCUCUGUUUCUGCCCUCCCUCCCCCCUCUCUCUCUCUCUCUCUCUCUCUCUGUUUCAUUCUUCUACUUCCCUCUUCUUCUUUGUUUUUUUCGUUUCCUUCCUUUCCUCCCUUGUUUCUCCUUCCUUCCCCUCCAUGAGUCUAUUGCUUGCUUCCCUCUUUUAUCAUGAAUUCUCCCACCCUUCUCCCUCCAUUUCCCUCCUCUACCUUUCUAUUUAUAGGCAGAGGGAAGAGAGUCACUUACCCCUGCCAUGGCGCAGGGUAAGGUGAGCUAGGGAGUUGCUUGCAAGGCAUGGCUCCCCUGUCUUUCUUCAUCAUUGUGGCGUGGUGGUAGGGUAUGUGUGAGCAUAGGUUGUGUCGGGUUUCUUGGACAAGGUGGGGGGGGGGUGUGAGAGAGAGAGAAAGAAUAGUGGGGAAAGAAGGAUUUUAAAAAGUCUUCUUUCCCUUGUCUCUGCAUUUGCAAGGGAAGAAGCAGCACAAUGCCAUACAAAACAAAACUGUACACUGUUCUUUUUUUUUUUUUUUAGAAAAUGAAAUGAAUUCGGUAACGACCUAAAAAUGGGUUAUGACAGACCAAAUAUGAAAGAAAAACAAAUUGAAGUGCUCUAAAUUUUUACAUGGGUGGCAUAAAUUUUGAGGUGGAAGAGAGAAAAGAAAAGAAAAAAAGAAAUGGACUUUUGCAUCAAACCAACACACCACGGUGUAGAGGACGCUGAUAUUUUUUAAACACUGCCCUGAAAAGUUAUUUUUGAUGGUCGGACAACCCCACGUGCGCAACCUAAAUGACGCGAGGGCCACUCACACAGUGGCUAGUUCGUUGCACGCGCCAACAUGUUUUUUUUUAAAUAAUAUUUAAUUAUAAUAAUAAUGCACAAAAAACCACAAAAUCUACAAUAAAACCAAUAUUAAAUGAACAAAAUAACCUUAUUAGAGAGUUAUACUUUUUUGUCUCAAAAGAUACCAAAGUUAUUUAAGUAUUUUGAAAAAAAUAAAAGGGCAAAAACACCCCCAAGACAAAAGCAUAAGAGUUUUGUAUUCCAAAACCAUAGUAGUAAUUUUAUUGUGCAAAAUAAAAAUAAAAUGAUAAAUAUUGAUAUGUUAAAGACAUGUUGGAAAGACAAUUUUACACUCAAAGCUUAGUUUAUUGUCAUUGUUUUUUGUUAGGUAAAUUCAUAAUUAUAUUAUUACAAUGAAUAAUAUCACCAGUAGCUUUAGUGUUUUUUUUAUGAUAAUUUGGAAGCUCAGCUACAGCUUCUAUCGCAUCCAUUUAACGUUCAUCAGCUUCCUAAAAAUCCAAAAUUCUGGAAAGAUGAUUAUUUUCCAGUGCGGAGAUAAAGUACCGAGUAGUGUUCAGUUUCCCUCCUGAGCUGACAUUUCAGUUUGGCAGCUCUCCUGUGAGAAGCUCCACAAGGACAGCUCCAAAGCUACAGACAUCACUUUUUCAUAAGAUACUAAGGAUCCAGCUAGCUAAAAGUGGCUUAUAUUUUUUUGACUAUGAUGGUUUGGCCUGAAGAAAUCAGUGGUGAAGCUCCAAAAUCUGCAAUCUUUGCCGUAAAAUUGUUGCCUGAAAGCAUGCUCACCGACUUGACAUCUCCAUGAACAAUAGGAGGGUCUGCUAGAGAAGGCAGAUAAUCAAGUGCAAGGGUAAUCUCCGGUGCUAUCCUUAGACGAUUGCCCCAGGAAGCUAGUAAAUGCAACUUUUUGUCAUGGAUGUUCUUGAAAAGAUAAUUUCCAUUUGAAAUGAACUCAUAAACUAGUAAUGGCAUUUUAGUCUCCGAGCACAGGCCAAAGAGCUCGACCACAUUCUUGUAAUUGACCAGCAAAACAAGGCUAAUUUCCUUUUGAAAUUCCUCGUUCAUCUAAGCCUUCUCUGCCCAUUUAAACUUAUUGACUGCAACCAAGCUCUUAUCUGCUAAAACUCCCUUGAAAACAGAACCAAAACCACCUUCCCAAGUUUCUGAUCAUCAACAUACUUGCUGGUUUCUUUUGCCUCACCGAAAAUCCUAGCUCGCUGAUGCUUUAAGCCAUUCCCUCGUUCUCUCUGAAGUUCUUCUCCUCACUUUUUCUCUUUUCCAGCACAUCAUGUAGAACUGUAGACAAAUAAUCACAAGGAAAAUUGUUGCUCCAAUAGCUGCAAGAAAAAUGCAACGAAAGAUUGUGUAACUUACAAAGCGAACCAAUGGAAAGGAUACAUUUACUAACUUUUUAAUUACUAAGUGAAGAGUAUUUGGAUCUCCUCAGGAACCUGGGAAGAUUCAAAUCCAAUUAUUUUCUAUUUUAUUGUUUUACAGUUAAGAGUUUACAAAGUAGUGAUAGGCCAUUAAUGUUACUUACAAGCCCAUCACCAAUAAUGGGCUCAAUUUGAUAGUAGACCUAUGGACUCAGAGAAGGCCUUUAGGUCCAUAGGUCUAUUAAAUUGAUGGCAGAUCAACUGGAAGCAAGGUUCCCUCGGCUCCUAAUAAAAAACGAUGUAAAAAGAGUUCGUUUCAUUUGAUGGCAAAUUUACCGGCCUUCGUUGUUUGUGAAAUUGUAAUUGUUUUUUUUAAUAUUUUUUAUUUAAAAAUAUAUUAAAAUAAUAUUUUUUUAUUUUAAAAAAAUUAUUUUUAUAUCAAUAAAUCAAAAUAAUUUUACAAACAUAAAAAAUAAAAAAAAUUUAAUUUUUUUCAAAAACACUUUUGAAACGUAAAAAAACAAAGAUGUCUGGUUAUUUGAUUCGCGUAUAGUCACCGGUGAGAUAACAUUUUAGUAAAAAAAAAAUUACUACACAAGGUUUUUAAAUGUGUUUUUACAAAAUAAAAAAACCUAAUUAUAAAUAAAAAGCUCUAUGCAUGUAUUUAAUGAAAUAAAUCAAGAAUUAUCUAUGCAAUAAAUACAAAAAAAAUAUAUUAACGUGUCUAUUCAACUUGCUUCACUGCAAGUUGAAUAAUUUUUUUUAAUAAAAAAAUAUAUAAAUGUUAUUAAAGUUUUUUCUUAAAUCGAAUAAAAAAUAUAAUUAUUAAUAAAAAUAUCUAUACUUGAGCAUGAAUUUCAAUUCAAAGAAUGCAUAUAGAGGCGACAUGAAGGCCGACAGAAUUGCAAUCAGUAGCAUUCAUCAACAAUAUCAAGAAAGAAAAUUUUCCAAAAAGUAAAUAACAGGAGAUCGAAUAUAUUGAAAAGCAUAAUUUCCAUACAUGCCUAGGUGUUCAUGGUAACAGCUAACAUAUACAUUGCAGCAGUGUCAUAUAGAUCAAUUUGUCAUCGUUCAUCAGAGUUUGGCCGCACCGAUAGACAAGGAUGAAUGAGUUAAUUUAAGUCACGGUUUAUCACUAGCAACCGAUUUCACCAAGUCCAAGGAUAUAAAAUUGGCAGAUCCGUGAAAAUGUAAAAAUAUAAUUACAAAAAGAAAGAAGAAAUUCUCGUGUGUUAAAAAACCUUCCGACCUUAUUCUGCAUUACAUAUGAGAUUGGUCAUGCUCGAUAAAUUCUAGUGCGCCUUUCUUGGCGACAACAUUGACACGGCUCAUCCCGUUUUUGUGUGUUCACCCCAUGUAACUUAUCAGCAACCGUCACAAGUUCUGGCCUGAAAGUGGUGGUUAUAUAUUGGGUAUUUGUCAUAUCAGCCAGGCGACAGGCGACAGGCGACGGAUCUCCUCUGAAGGAUAUAUCAGAUGAAAAAACAAUAGCUAAAAUCAAUACAGAGCACACAUAACUCACACCAACAGCCCUUAGAUCUUCUUUAUAGGUUGACAUUUCUAUUUUCAUUGCACGGAGGUACAAGCGAAUAUCUUGCCAUUCAUAUGGUUAAACAAUAUCAGAUAUAAAUUCCUAAUUCCACUCCAAAAGCCUGAAAAUCAACUCCCCACAUUCAUAAGAGCAUGGCAGAAUUUUCUUAAAUAUUCAUUAUUAAUUAUUUUAUACGCAUUAACUUACAGAAAUUACAAAUCAUCAAUAAAAUUGACAAAACUUAAAACAAACAUGUUAAACAAACUAUUAUUUAUUUCAUCACAACACAUUUAAAUUGAUAAUUCGACAUAAGUUUCCAUAAUUUACAAAUAAAUAAAAUUUUACAAAAUCUAAAACAAAUUAGCAAGUACAAAAUUAUAAAUUCAUACUAUAUAUUUUAGAAAAAACAAUAAAACAAGUAAAUACUCAAAUAAAAUACAUAUACUAAAAGAACAUUCAAUAAUAAAAUUGAUAUUUUAAAAUUGUAUUAAAAUUAAAAAAAAGAUACAUUUAAUUACUAAAAAUAAAAAAUCCACAAUAAAUCAUAAUAUGGAUGCUAAGACUAAAAAAGUUUGUAUUAAGAUGAGGGGGGAUGAUUGGGAGGGGGGAGUUGGCUGUUAAUGUUGGGAGGGGGCGUUUGUUUAGAUGCAGGGGGGAGAAGAAGGAAAAAUAGGGGAGGGGAGGGUUGAUGCCUAGUUAUUUAUUAAAUAUUACUAAUAAAAUUACCGAUAGAAUUAUUUUGUCUGUCACUUCGUCAGUGUUUUUGACAUGUGACUAUACGAACAACUUGGUUUUAAUAUGACUGUAAUUUUAUUGGUAAAAUUGUCCAUAAAAACUUACACGUCAUCGCACAAUUUCUUUUUUAUUUUCCAUUCUUUAUAUUUUGUUUGAGAUUCCCUCGGUAUAUACUAACGAUUUUAACGAUGGAAAAAAUUUUGUUGGUAAAUAUCACUGCAAAAUACCAAUGAAAAAAAUCAUCAAUAAUUUCAUUUGUAUUUAUUGAAUUUCUAGUAGUGUUUUGGAUUUGGCUAACUGUCAAGUUCACGUGUCUUGUGUCUAGUAUGUUUGUCAAAUUCACAUCAUCUUAGACUUGGUUGAUUUGCUAAAUUCAAAUGCCUUAGAUUUGAUUGACUGCCAAAUCCAAAUGUCUUGAGUCUGGUAUAUUCAUCAUACCCAUGUUUCCUUGAAUUUAAUUGAUUUGCCAAAUGCAAAUGUCUUGGAUUUAGUUGAUUGCCAAUCCAAACAUCUUAAAUCUGAUAUAUUUAUUAAAUCCAGUUACCUUAAACUUGAUUAAUUGUCAAGUUCAAGUGCCAGAUUUUGCAUACCGCCAAACCUUCCACAUAAAUCAUGCCCAAAGAAAGAUGGUAAUAAGAGUUUUUUAAACCAGUUAAAAAUAAGUUUAUCAACUUACAAGCUGUGAUUUGGUCGUAGCAUGGUAUGUAUCUGAGACCUUUCUCGAAAGAGAAAAAAAAAACAUGACACUUUAGCAAAGGUGAUAUGUGUGAAACCUAUUUUGCAUCAAUUUUCAACCAAAACCAUCUCCAAACAACCUUGAUUUAAAAACAAAAUCAUAAUUUAAGAAGGAUGGACACACACUACAUAAUAUUUAUGAUAAAAAUAUAUUUUAAUCAAUCAUUCAAUUGGUUAAAAUUUUAUCAUAACGUGUUAACAAUUCUAUUUCCUAUUAGGAUUACAGGAUGCCAACAUACCAAAUUUGAUCCAAAAGUUACAGCCGGGAUUUUUUUUCAUUAUUUUUCUAAUUAUUUUAGGAUUCUUUUUUCAGAUAAUUUUUAGAAUGUUAUAUGAUUUAAAUUUCUAUAUUCAGGUCAUUUUGUCUCAAAUUUAAAUAUAAGAGGGGAUUGAUUGUGUAAAGUUUUUAGUUCAGAGUUUUUCUAUAGUUAACUUUUAAAUAUAAGAGGCUAUACUUUCAAAUGAUAUGAUUUUUACUUUUAAUAAAAUUAAAAAAUUAUAUUAACUUGAAUCAAUUUACCUCACCUGAAACCUGAGACUUUCCCGAGAUCAAGAGGUUAAGCUUAAGAACAAUGGUUAUAGCUGCUCAUAAAGGCUAGAAAAUGAUUGGAAUCUUGUUUUGGUAAGAAUUCGUAUGCUAUGGAAAUUUAAGCUAGCUAUGGAGCUUUCUCUAUAUGUGAAUGUAAGUAAACAUCAUUGAAUCUAGUUUGAUUAGGAAAUCGAAGGUCCUUAUAAAUUUCUCAAAACAAUUUCUUUUUGAGAGUGUAUAUUAACUAGUCCUGUAAACACACAAUUUUUAUUUGAACACAGGUGACAAAAGAAAAGGAAAAUCUGGAUUCUUGAAACAUGUCAAGCAUCCAAGUUCCAGGAGAAGUACUAGAGACAAUAACUCAAGAACAUCAAUAGCCAUAAUCUACAAUUUAUUAAUGGAGCUAUCUGGCUUAUUGAAUGUUGGAAACUGAUUGUGGUCUGACUUUAAUUGUUGUUAGUGUAGUUCUCGAUCUGCAAUGACAUCACAGUCUUGUUGGGGAAUCUGACCGGUGAUAUAUUGAUGGUUGUCCAUUGGAGGCUAAGCACACUGACACAAUAUUUAACGUGGUUUAGCAAAUCGCCUAUAUCUAUGGGAGAGGUCCAUAUUUGUAGAGAUAGAGAAAUAAUACAAAACAAAUACAUGGAGGAGGAGGAUCACAUCCACUCAAACUCAACUCCUAGCUCACAUCGAUGCCUUUGGAGUUGUUCUCUCUUUCUCUCUUAUUCUCUUCACAUACUCUCUCCAUUCUCUCUCUCAUUUUUUUUUUCUAAAAUCAUGCCUCUUUUAUAGGCAUUAAUGGUGCUGCUCCAGCUGAUCUUCAUUAAUGGUGUUCACCUAAACUUUGCCUACUUUGUGACUUUUGGUUGCUGCACCAACAACCCUCUUUGAAAAUGGAAGCCAUCUUCUUCUAAAAGAUGGACUGCAAAUGUUGCCACACAAGUGGCAAUAUGCUGACAAUCACCCCCUUUACCAUUUAUGUGGGGCAAUUGUUCUCUUGCUUUUUCAGCACAAGCUUGCAUCCUGCAGCUCUUCCAAGUUUACUAUUCCGAGAGCGUCUUCGACCAGGUUUACAGGUACUUGCCAAACAUUUCAAUCGCCAGAGUCACCAAAGCACACCUUUGCUCACACCAAAAGAUCACUUUAACCAGAUGGUUUGUCACAUCUCAUCUGAAGAGUGUUAACGCUUAUCUCUGGGACACAACAUUCCCCUUCAAGCGUAUUAAUCAUGCUUGAUUUGGAAUGAUUUAUCAAGCCUCACACCAAGGCUUACAACACCCCAUCAAACGUAAAUUUCUAUUUCCAAGCGCGACAAUCAUUAUCUGAGUAUCUUAAUAUGAUCACAAGCUCACCACUCUUCCAAAAGUCUACUCAUCCAAGAGUUGCGUCUCCUCUGUUCCACUCUCUGAAAAAGUCACCCACUUAGUGUCCAAGGAAAAUUUCUUCUAACUCAUUGACGUUUAGCAUGAGGGCAAUAUCCAUGAAAGUCAAUCUUGCAUUUGUCUUCAUACUCAUCAUAGUCACUUCAUUGGCUAUCCAUACACCUGUCCACUUAUAUCUAGCCAUCACAUUAGCUUUGGGGUGUUCUGAACUAGGGCUCCUAUCAUGGCCCUCACACCUUCUCUAAGGUGUCUUCACCUAUUGUUAUAAGAUAGUUUAAACUGGGGCUCCUAUCAUGGCCCACACACCUUUCAUCUGAGGUGUCUCCGCUCGUCGUCAUGCGGCGGUCUGAAUCUGGGCUCACAUUGUGGCCCUCAAACCUUCUGUCUGAGGUGUCUCCGCUUGUCGUGAAGCAGUCUCGUCCUCCUUCAUCUGGGAUGACUCUAGUGGCUCCAAGAUUCUCUACCACCAUGUGGACUUAUGAGAGAUUAUUGCCACUGACUACAUAGAAAGAGAAAGUUACGGUAUACUCCUCGCAAUCCUCCACCUCGAUUUCUAUAUUUGGAGCUUCUAUGCCUUUCUGCUUAAUAACUCCAUUUGCACCAAUUCUCUUUAGUGUCUUCACCUUUCAUAGGCGGUCACCUUUUAUCACAGGUGUUUGCACCCCCCUCAAUUAUGUGUUUCUGCAACAACUCAUCUUUCCAUCCUUGCAUGCACUGGAAAGGUCGUCACCUGUUGUAUUCAUCAAGAGCACAAGAGACUUCUUGUUGUACACAGUCUCUGCUCUGAGCUUCAUCUGGGAACUCUUCUUCUCCUUACACCUGUUGUCUUAUUACAGUACCUCGUUAGAUCCUACGAGUACUCCUGCAUAAUUUUUGUGUGCUCUCGUGCAAUUUAUGUUCUUCAGAUUUCUCCCUAUUCCUUGCUUUUAUGUUUGACAGGAGCUCAUCUGUCACAACACCUAUCAAGUAAAAAUAGAGUGUCAAUCUUUAUCCCCUUGUUGUAUUUCUCUUUCAUUAUCAAGAUCUUCAUCAAUUCUCCCCUCGAGAAAUUACAGUCACCGAAUCUGACUUCUUUGAAGAAAUCCCCACUCCAUUAGAUCCUUGAUCAUAUGAAACCCAAUUGUUCCCCUUAUGCCGUUAUCCUGCUAAUCUUCACCAAUUUCAUUACAAACUGUUACAUAUACAAAAAUAGUACCAUAUGGAUAAUCCUUCAACUAAGCAAGUUUGCAGGAAAGAUUGGAGGGGUCACAAUGGUCCUGCUUAAAACCCAAUCUCCUAGCCAGAACUUCUGAGGCCAUAUCUAUCCAUUAUACUACCUUUCCGUAUAUACAUCAUUUGCUAGCUUUGUUGCGGCUUUCCUUUACAAGUGAUCUGGAAUAUUUUUUAUUUAUACCUGAUUUCUUAACAUCAGGUGAGACUACCAGUGCUUAGAUUCAUCAAAAUUAGUCUUCAACAAUUUUCAUUCUCCACCUCAAAUCGUACACAUCUCGGGUGUUCAGAGUGUUCUAAUUUUGCCUUCUAUCAAGGCAAUUAAAUUUCCCCACUAAACAAUUCAACACACAUAAUUGGGAAAAUAUGUGUGACUUUUUCUUCUUCAUCUCCAUUGACCACCAUCAAGAGCUUCAGAUGCCUCCUGAUCGGGCAAUUUCUCUUAAUAAUUCACCACCACCAUUUUCGGUCUUAAUCUCAAUGAUUGGACCAUACCAUUGCAUCCAGAACGAUCAAAAUAGAUGGAAACAAGUCUGCAAUCGUCCAAAUCACAUUUCAGAAGGCUAAGAUUUCAUCAAAACAAUUAUGGCUUGAUGAACGGCCCAGAUUCAAUCUCAGAUCCGGUUUCACGUAGAAUCUGAUACAUAGAAUCCUAUCCCUCGGCACACGGCUCGACUCCUCUUGGCGGAUGAUGUGGCAUGUGAGUCCCACUAUGCUGACGUGGCUGCUGACUGGCGCUAACAUGGUGUCGCACGUCGAAAAAAUCCGCGCGCGGCAUCGGCUGACGAUUUUUUCUCAUUGUUGUUGUGUUUGCUUUGAUUGGUUCGUUGGAGUCGCCACCUAGUAAUUCAUUAAGGGCUACUAGGAAACCUGAUGUACUGGUCUCGUCAGAGAUCGCGAGUAAGGGACUGGUUGUGGUUAGGGAAGGUAUUAGCACCCCUAACGCACCCUACCUGAGGUAAGCUGCUUCGUAGCUUUGACGUGUUAAAGAAGUUUUAAUAAUUGUCUUUUCAUUGGAAAUUAGAAAUAUCACUUACGUAUAAGUUAAUAAUUCUUAACCGUGAUCCGAUCAAAAUAUUAAAUUCUUCUUUAAUAUAUUUGCAAUUUUAUCAUUAAAAAAUAUAUACAAAUAAAUAAAACAAAAUACAAGCACACACAUACACUUUCACUAUUUUAUUUUUGUUUCCUUUCUUUUCUUUUCUUUUACAUCCAUAUUUACAAAAUAUAGAUAAAAAUUCAAUACUAAAAAAUUUACAUCAACAACUCAAAAUUAUAAAAUAAUCCCUACAAUUCAAGAAACACAAAUCUGAAAAGCAUUUUGGGUCUGCCUGAACAGUGUUGAGGGAGGCUGCUAGGCGCGUGAACAGUGUUGCACAGCGGUGGCGCGUGGGUUCACACGCCGCCGCGAGAACGCCGGAAAAAAAAGGGUUGGCCGAAUUCUGCUUCUUCUUCCUUUUCCCUCCCCGCAGACGGUAAGAAACCACAUCAUCUACAACAAAAAACAAACACACAAACAGUCGAUUUUAAGCUUUUAUUUCUUUGUGUUUUUUUCGGAUCUGAUUUUUGUUCUUUCUUUCUUCUCCGAUCUGCUUUCCUCUUUUCUUCUCUUUUAGAUCUGUUUCCUUUUUCUUUCUUCCCGGGUCGCUGUUGUUUCCUUCUUCAGAUGGCAGAUCUGGUGGAGGCGGAUCGUGGUGGCGAGGCCAAGGGGGAACGGUCGUGCGUGGGCUACUGCUGUGUGGUCUUCACUUCGGUCGAUGGCAGCGGUGGUUGGCUUUUGCUGCCGGUGUCUGGCCUGUGGAUCUCCGGCGAGGAACGACGCUGCUGGAGGCAGUGAGCUGGGUCUGCUGCCGACCGGAGGAGAUGACGAAGGGGAUGGUUCUGUCUUGGCUAUCGGCCGACGAUGAAGAUCGCAGGUCUGCGGGGAGAAGCUGCCAUUGAGAUGGGUCGGCCAGGAGGCGGAGGAACGACCCUGUUGAAGGUGGAAGGUGGGCGUGAGCAGUCCUUAGUUCUGCAGGGAAAAUGGCAAUGGGAGAGGCUGCUGGGUCCGUCUUGGCUGAGUGAGAGAGAGGGGAGCGUGGAGAAGGCCGGUCAGUUGCUGUUUGGGGAAGCAAAAAAAAUUCAACCGGCUGGGGGCUGCUAUUUGGCCGGUUGCGGGAGAAGAGAAAAAAAAUCAAAAGGGGCAGUGUGGGUAGUAUGUUUGUCAAAUUCACAUCACCUUAGACUUGGUUGAUUUUCUAAAUUCAAAUGCCUUUGAUUUGAUUGACUGCCAAAUCCAAAUGUCUUGAGUCUGGUAUAUUCAUCAUACCCAUGUUUCCUUGAAUUUAAUUGAUUUGCCAAAUGCAAAUGUCUUGGAUUUAGUUGAUUGCCAAUCCAAACAUCUUAAAUCUGAUAUAUUUAUUAAAUCCAGUUACCUUAAACUUGAUUAAUUGUCAAGUUCAAGUGCCAGAUUUUGCAUACCGCCAAACCUUCCACAUAAAUCAUGCCCAAAGAAAGAUGGUAAUAAGAGUUUUUUAAACCAGUUAAAAAUAAGUUUAUCAACUUACAAGCUGUGAUUUGGUCGUAGCAUGGUAUGUAUCUGAGACCUUUCUCGAAAGAGAAAAAAAAAACAUGACACUUUGAGCAAAGGUGAUAUGUGUGAAACCUAUUUUGCAUCAAUUUUCAACCAAAACCAUCUCCAAACAACCUUGAUUUAAAAACAAAAUCAUAAUUUAAGAAGGAUGGACACACACUACAUAAUAUUUAUGAUAAAAAUAUAUUUUAAUCAAUCAUUCAAUUGGGUUAAAAUUUUAUCAUAACGUGUUAACAAUUCUAUUUCCUAUUAGGAUUACAGGAUGCCAACAUACCAAAUUUGAUCCAAAAGUUACAGCCGGGAUUUGUUUUCAUUAUUUUUCUAAUUAUUUUAGGAUUCUUUUUUCAGAUAAUUUUUAGAAUGUUAUAUGAUUUAAAUUUCUAUAUUCAGGUCAUUUUGUCUCAAAUUUAAAUAUAAGAGGGGAUUGAUUGUGUAAAGUUUUUAGUUCAGAGUUUUUCUAUAGUUAACUUUUAAAUAUAAGAGGCUAUACUUUCAAAUGAUAUGAUUUUUACUUUUAAUAAAAUUAAAAAAUUAUAUUAACUUGAAUCAAUUUACCUCACCUGAAACCUGAGACUUUCCCGAGAUCAAGAGGUUAAGCUUAAGAACAAUGGUUAUAGCUGCUCAUAAAGGCUAGAAAAUGAUUGGAAUCUUGUUUUGGUAAGAAUUCGUAUGCUAUGGAAAUUUAAGCUAGCUAUGGAGCUUUCUCUAUAUGUGAAUGUAAGUAAACAUCAUUGAAUCUAGUUUGAUUAGGAAAUCGAAGGUCCUUAUAAAUUUCUCAAAACAAUUUCUUUUUGAGAGUGUAUAUUAACUAGUCCUGUAAACACACAAUUUUUAUUUGAACACAGGUGACAAAAGAAAAGGAAAAUCUGGAUUCUUGAAACAUGUCAAGCAUCCAAGUUCCAGGAGAAGUACUAGAGACAAUAACUCAAGAACAUCAAUAGCCAUAAUCUACAAUUUAUUAAUGGAGCUAUCUGGCUUAUUGAAUGUUGGAAACUGAUUGUGGUCUGACUUUAAUUGUUGUUAGUGUAGUUCUCGAUCUGCAAUGACAUCACAGUCUUGUUGGGGAAUCUGACCGGUGAUAUAUUGAUGGUUGUCCAUUGGAGGCUAAGCACACUGACACAAUAUUUAACGUGGUUUAGCAAAUCGCCUAUAUCUAUGGGAGAGGUCCAUAUUUGUAGAGAUAGAGAAAUAAUACAAAACAAAUACAUGGAGGAGGAGGAUCACAUCCACUCAAACUCAACUCCUAGCUCACAUCGAUGCCUUUGGAGUUGUUCUCUCUUUCUCUCUUAUUCUCUUCACAUACUCUCUCCAUUCUCUCUCUCAUUUUUUUUUUUCUAAAAUCAUGCCUCUUUUAUAGGCAUUAAUGGUGCUGCUCCAGCUGAUCUUCAUUAAUGGUGUUCACCUAAACUUUGCCUACUUUGUGACUUUUGGUUGCUGCACCAACAACCCUCUUUGAAAAUGGAAGCCAUCUUCUUCUAAAAGAUGGACUGCAAAUGUUGCCACACAAGUGGCAAUAUGCUGACAAUCACCCCCUUUACCAUUUAUGUGGGGCAAUUGUUCUCUUGCUUUUUCAGCACAAGCUUGCAUCCUGCAGCUCUUCCAAGUUUACUAUUCCGAGAGCGUCUUCGACCAGGUUUACAGGUACUUGCCAAACAUUUCAAUCGCCAGAGUCACCAAAGCACACCUUUGCUCACACCAAAAGAUCACUUUAACCAGAUGGUUUGUCACAUCUCAUCUGAAGAGUGUUAACGCUUAUCUCUGGGACACAACAUUCCCCUUCAAGCGUAUUAAUCAUGCUUGAUUUGGAAUGAUUUAUCAAGCCUCACACCAAGGCUUACAACACCCCAUCAAACGUAAAUUUCUAUUUCCAAGCGCGACAAUCAUUAUCUGAGUAUCUUAAUAUGAUCACAAGCUCACCACUCUUCCAAAAGUCUACUCAUCCAAGAGUUGCGUCUCCUCUGUUCCACUCUCUGAAAAAGUCACCCACUUAGUGUCCAAGGAAAAUUUCUUCUAACUCAUUGACGUUUAGCAUGAGGGCAAUAUCCAUGAAAGUCAAUCUUGCAUUUGUCUUCAUACUCAUCAUAGUCACUUCAUUGGCUAUCCAUACACCUGUCCACUUAUAUCUAGCCAUCACAUUGGCUUUGGGGUGUUCUGAACUAGGGCUCCUAUCAUGGCCCUCACACCUUCUCUAAGGUGUCUUCACCUAUUGUUAUAAGAUAGUUUAAACUGGGGCUCCUAUCAUGGCCCACACACCUUUCAUCUGAGGUGUCUCCGCUCGUCGUCAUGCGGCGGUCUGAAUCUGGGCUCACAUUGUGGCCCUCAGACCUUCUGUCUGAGGUGUCUCCGCUUGUCGUGAAGCAGUCUCGUCCUCCUUCAUCUGGGAUGACUCUAGUGGCUCCAAGAUUCUCUACCACCAUGUGGACUUAUGAGAGAUUAUUGCCACUGACUACAUAGAAAGAGAAAGUUACGGUAUACUCCUCGCAAUCCUCCACCUCGAUUUCUAUAUUUGGAGCUUCUAUGCCUUUCUGCUUAAUAACUCCAUUUGCACCAAUUCUCUUUAGUGUCUUCACCUUUCAUAGGCGGUCACCUUUUAUCACAGGUGUUUGCACCCCCCUCAAUUAUGUGUUUCUGCAACAACUCAUCUUUCCAUCCUUGCAUGCACUGGAAAGGUCGUCACCUGUUGUAUUCAUCAAGAGCACAAGAGACUUCUUGUUGUACACAGUCUCUGCUCUGAGCUUCAUCUGGGAACUCUUCUUCUCCUUACACCUGUUGUCUUAUUACAGUACCUCGUUAGAUCCUACGAGUACUCCUGCAUAAUUUUUGUGUGCUCUCGUGCAAUUUAUGUUCUUCAGAUUUCUCCCUAUUCCUUGCUUUUAUGUUUGACAGGAGCUCAUCUGUCACAACACCUAUCAAGUAAAAAUAGAGUGUCAAUCUUUAUCCCCUUGUUGUAUUUCUCUUUCAUUAUCAAGAUCUUCAUCAAUUCUCCCUCGAGAAAUUACAGUCACCGAAUCUGACUUCUUUGAAGAAAUCCCCACUCCAUUAGAUCCUUGAUCAUAUGAAACCCAAUUGUUCCCCUUAUGCCGUUAUCCUGCUAAUCUUCACCAAUUUCAUUACAAACUGUUACAUAUACAAAAAUAGUACCAUAUGGAUAAUCCUUCAACUAAGCAAGUUUGCAGGAAAGAUUGGAGGGGUCACAAUGGUCCUGCUUAAAACCCAAUCUCCUAGCCAGAACUUCUGAGGCCAUAUCUAUCCAUUAUACUACCUUUCCGUAUAUACAUCAUUUGCUAGCUUUGUUGCGGCUUUCCUUUACAAGUGAUCUGGAAUAUUUUUUAUUUAUACCUGAUUUCUUAACAUCAGGUGAGACUACCAGUGCUUAGAUUCAUCAAAAUUAGUCUUCAACAAUUUUCAUUCUCCACCUCAAAUCGUACACAUCUCGGGUGUUCAGAGUGUUCUAAUUUUGCCUUCUAUCAAGGCAAUUAAAUUUCCCCACUAAACAAUUCAACACACAUUGGGAAAAUAUGUGUGACUUUUUCUUCUUCAUCUCCAUUGACCACCAUCAAGAGCUUCAGAUGCCUCCUGAUCGGGCAAUUUCUCUUAAUAAUUCACCACCACCAUUUUCGGUCUUAAUCUCAAUGAUUGGACCAUACCAUUGCAUCCAGAACGAUCAAAAUAGAUGGAAACAAGUCUGCAAUCGUCCAAAUCACAUUUCAGAAGGCUAAGAUUUCAUCAAAACAAUUAUGGCUUGAUGAACGGCCCAGAUUCAAUCUCAGAUCCGGUUUCACGUAGAAUCUGAUACAUAGAAUCCUAUCCCUCGGCACACGGCUCGACUCCUCUUGGCGGAUGAUGUGGCAUGUGAGUCCCACUGCUGACGUGGCUGCUGACUGGCGCUAACAUGGUGUCGCACGUCGAAAAAAUCCGCGCGCGGCAUCGGCUGACGAUUUUUUCUCAUUGUUGUUGUGUUUGCUUUGAUUGGUUCGUUGGAGUCGCCACCUAGUAAUUCAUUAAGGGCUACUAGGAAACCUGAUGUACUGGUCUCGUCAGAGAUCGCGAGUAAGGGACUGGUUGUGGUUAGGGAAGGUAUUAGCACCCCUAACGCACCCUACCUGAGGUAAGCUGCUUCGUAGCUUUGACGUGUUAAAGAAGUUUUAAUAAUUGUCUUUUCAUUGGAAAUUAGAAAUAUCACUUACGUAUAAGUUAAUAAUUCUUAACCGUGAUCCGAUCAAAAUAUUAAAUUCUUCUUUAAUAUAUUUGCAAUUUUAUCAUUAAAAAUAUAUACAAAUAAAUAAAACAAAAUACAAGCAACACAUACACUUUCAUAUUUUAUUUUUGUUUCCUUUCUUUUCUUUUCUUUUACAUCCAUAUUUACAAAAUAUAGAUAAAAAUUCAAUACUAAAAAAUUUACAUCAACAACUCAAAAUUAUAAAAUAAUCCCUACAAUUCAAGAAACACAAAUCUGAAAAGCAUUUGGGUCUGCCUGAACAGUGUUGAGGAGGCUGCUAGGCGCGUGAACAGUGUUGCACAGCGGUGGCGCGUGGGUUCACACGCCGCGCGAGAACGCCGGAAAAAAAAGGGUUGGCCGAAUUCUGCUUCUUCUUCCUUUUCCUCCCCGCAGACGGUAAGAAACCACAUCAUCUACAACAAAAAACAACACACAAACAGUCGAUUUUAAGCUUUUAUUUCUUUGUGUUUUUUUCGGAUCUGAUUUUUGUUCUUUCUUUCUUCUCCGAUCUGCUUUCCUCUUUUCUUCUCUUUUAGAUCUGUUUCCUUUUUCUUUCUUCCCGGGUCGCUGUUGUUUCCUUCUUCAGAUGGCAGAUCUGGUGGAGGCGGAUCGUGGUGGCGAGGCCAAGGGAACGGUCGUGCUGGGCUACUGCUGUGCUUCACUUCGGUCGAUGCAGCGGUGGUUGGGCUUUUGCUGCCGGUGUCUGGCCUGUGGAUCUCCGGCGAGGAACGACGCUGCUGGAGGCAGUGAGCUGGGUCUGCUGCCGACCGGAGGAGAUGACGAAGGGGAUGGUUCUGUCUUGGCUAUCGGCCGACGAUGAAGAUCGCAGGUCUGCGGGGAGAAGCUGCCAUUGAGAUGGGUCGGCCAGGAGGCGGAGGAACGACCCUGUUGAAGGUGGAAGGUGGGCGUGAGCAGUCCUUAGUUCUGCAGGGAAAAUGGCAAUGGGAGGGGCUGCUGGGUCCGUCUUGGCUGAGAGAGAGGGGAGCGUGGAGAAGGCCGGUCAGUUGCUGUUUGGGGAAGCAAAAAAAAUUCAAACCGGCUGGGGGCUGCUAUUUGGCCGGUUGCGGGAGAAGAGAAAAAAAAUCAAAAGGGGCAGUGUGGGGGUUGGCUGUGUUUGGAUUUUUAGGGUUUAGGUUUUUUCUUUGUAUUUUUUUGAUGUCUCAAAAUUGCCCCCUCUUCCUUGUAAGUGUUGGAAACCAGUAUUUAUAGGCAAAAAAUAUUGCUAAGUUUUCAAAAUGGGUCCCUUAACUUUCUUUUUUUGUAAAAUUUGAUUUUUCUUGUUUUUUUGUAUUUUUUGAAAACGAGCAAUAUCAACGUCGACUCAAAUGCGGAAAAUCAAUUAUUUUAAAAAUGACGCGUGAAAAGUCGAACGCGUUUGAAAAUCUUUUAAAAAUUUAAAUUCUUUUUUAGACGACGUUGAAAAUGCUAAAAUGACGAAAAUAUAUUAAAAAACAUAUUUUUUUGGAUUUUCUUUGUUUUUCUCUAUUUGAAUUUUUUUGAAAAUAUAUCAAAACAUGGAUCAAAAAAUGGGUAGCAACACAUGGCAUGCCAACUGUGCAUGCUGCUGUUAUAAUUACAUCAUCCUUAUCCGAGUCAGGCACGUGGGUCGGGUCGACUGGUAUUCAGGUUGGGUCAGUCCAUCUGGGCGAAGAAGACGCAUGGCAUGCGUUUGGCGCGUUUGUGUGUAUGGCCAGCCACCUCGCUGGCGUGUAGGGGUGCGUGCGGCCAUGCCAAACAUCCGAUUUUGACACGGUUUUCAGUAGUGGCUUCGUCUCUUCCUCCUCUACACGUUGGUAUGGUCAAAACACAAUUUUGACAACUUUCAUUUUUGAGCAAAACACCACUUUAAACCAUAUGCUCUGAUACCAAUUGUUGGGGAAUCUGACCGGUAAUGUACUGGUAGUUGCCCAUUGCAGGCUAAGCACACUGACACAAUAUUUAACGUGGUUCGACAAAUCACUUACAUCCAUGAGAGAAGUUUAUAUUAUUAGAGAUAAAGAAAUGAUACAAAACAAAUACAUAGAGGAGGAAGAGGAGGAUCACAUCAACUCAAACUCAACUCCCAGCUCACAUUGCUGUCCUUGCAGCUGCUGCCAUUGCAGCUGCUGCCAUUGCAGCUCUUCUCUCUUUCUCUCUUAUUCUCUUCACAUACUCUCACCAUUCUCUCUCUCAUUUUCCUCUCUAAAAUCAUGCCUCUUUUAUAGGCAUUAAUGGUGCUCCUCCAGCUGAUCUUCAUUAAUGGUGGUCACGUAACCUUUGCCUACUUUGUGACUUUUGGUUGUUGCACCAACAACCCUCUUUAAAAAUGGAAGCUAUCUUCUUCUAGAACAUGGGCUGCAAAUGCUGCCACAUAAGUGGCAAUAUCCCAACAAGUCUGGGAUUGGUUCAUGGGAGGACUUGCAUUCUUGCAUAAAGAUUGUGAUGAUUCGCCUAACAAGUAGUAUGUUUCCUCUCUAUUUUGCUGAGCCCAUGAUUUCUAGUGAAGAGCUUUCAGCUUAGCAAGCUCAUUGGACACUUCCUUUAUGGUUGGCUGGUUUACUCCCAUGCUAUUUAGACAUCCUUUUGCAAGCUCAGCUACAACUUCUAUCUCAU
This 35730-nucleotide long non-coding RNA is filed under the name Populus tremula. RNAcentral describes it as "long non-coding RNA (PTRE_LNC002252)". The record is from RNAcentral. Lineage: Eukaryota; Viridiplantae; Streptophyta; Magnoliopsida; Malpighiales; Salicaceae.